This 229-nucleotide ribosomal RNA is filed under the name uncultured Curtobacterium sp. RNAcentral's name for it is "partial 16S ribosomal RNA". It matches the Rfam family "Bacterial small subunit ribosomal RNA", at positions 283 to 524 of the family's 1533-position model. The record is from RNAcentral. Lineage: Bacteria; Bacillati; Actinomycetota; Actinomycetes; Micrococcales; Microbacteriaceae.
GUAGCGGGUCUGAGAGGAUGAUCCGCCACACUGGGACUGAGACACGGCCCAGACUCCUACGGGAGGCAGCAGUGGGGAAUAUUGCACAAUGGGCGAAAGCCUGAUGCAGCAACGCCGCGUGAGGGAUGACGGCCUUCGGGUUGUAAACCUCUUUUAGUAGGGAAGAAGCGAAAGUGACGGUACCUGCAGAAAAAGCACCGGCUAACUACGUGCCAGCAGCCGCGGUAAU